GCGCCCGAGCCCAACCACUCGCCAGCCGCGCGGGGCCGGCCACUGAGCAUGCCCAGUGAGCGAGCCGGGCUCGCUGCGGAAUGAUUAAACUUCCCCCGGGUCCUUUAGGCUCCCAGAAGGAAGUCGGGACGGAGCCGGAGUCGUUGACGUUGGCGCUCUGCAAGCCCGUGACCUCGGGGAGGAGGAGGCGAGGGCGGGGGGAGUGGACGCGGCUCCCCGAACCUGCCUCCGAGCGGGGCAGCUCUCUAAGGUCAGCCUUGGCCGCGGACCGGGGCUUGCUGCCUUUGACCCGUGUCACUGCGGAGGGGACAGCCGCCACGGCGGCUCAGGCCGGGAACCCUGCGGGCCAGGCUACGUGGAGCCAGUGCAGGAUCUUCAAGCAUCAAUUACUCUUACUCCAAAGCACGUGAACUGCAGGUUUCCGGGAUGGUGUGUCUGCAGAGCUGUGUUCAGAGAAGCUGGUGGUGGAUGGGUCCAUUUGGACUCCCGGAAAGGGCCAGAUGGCCUCAAGUUCCUCAUCUGUAUAAUGAAAAAGAUAAUACUUCAUAGAGUUGUUCUGAAGAUGAAAUGAGACAAUAUCUAUGAAAUACUAGGAAGAGAUUGGGCCAGAAGACACUUUUGAUUAAUAUUAGUCAUUAUUAGCAUCAUCACAAUGACUUUAAGUCUCAAUAUUAUCUUUAUUAUUUUUAGUGUGAAUAAUGAAGAUAAUAAUAAUAGCCUUAACAGGGAAAAUUUCCCUAGACAUUUGUUGGGAAAGAAGGCUAAGAGAGGAAGUCUGAAUUCUGUGCCUGGUCCCUGCCAGCUCCAUGAUGUGUUUGAGGCUGUGACUCAGGACAGGAAUAGGCUCAGAGGACUCCUUGGUGUCACCCACCAGCCACUAUCAGGUCCUGUGCUUCGUGUAUACUUUCGAAGCAGGAUUCAGAGCUUUGCAGGACACUCUUUGUAGAUGGAACAUACAGGUGAAGAAGGGGAUCCUGAAUCUGGAAGGAGACUAUCUCAAAGAACAAAGAGACUGUCUACUAAAAUGUGUCCAGGGAGGUUUGGGAAGUUCGAGCAAGUUGACCAUUGUUGAGUCCAAGAGAUGAUUCGGUUAAUGUGAGUCUCCAAGAGAUUGAUUAUCCAGAUAUAUGGACCGAAUUGAGUUUUGACUCAGCUGAGAGCCAAGCCACCGUCCCUGGAGACCCAUGGAAGACACUCUCACCCUAGGCAUUGCCUCUGGGUGCUCAGGGGGCCUCUCUGAGAACUCUAGCCCAUUCUUACUACUUUCAGCAGGAGAGUGCGGUUCUUACACCAAAUCAUAAAUACCACCCUCAUUGAAAAGUAUGAAGAAAUAAAUGUUGACUUUUGCCUUUGCUUUUAAUGGCAGUGUCUGUUGACCUGCCCCUGGUAUUCCUCAUGGUAUACAUGGGCAACUCUGCAAAGGUAAAACAGCAGGGAAAGGGGGCUGGAAACGGAGAUGAAGGGGAUUUUUUAAACCACAAAAGUUGGCAUUAAAAGGCAGUGGAUAUAAUCUAACAGCUAAAGAAAGUAUAAUUAAAACAUUGAUUUCAUAACAUCAAUCAUGCUCUUUUUAUCUCAAAUUUCAAGAAUUCAUCCUAUAAUAUUUUUAUUAUUUUAUAUUCUGAAAUUACCCAAAGCUCUGAUGUAAAUCUAACCGUGUGAUUAUAAAUUUCCUGAAAAGUCAUGAAGUACUUCACAAAUUAUUCAUUUACUCAAGAUUAAGUGUUAGACUGGCUAUUAUAUUCCCUAAUAAAUCCUAUUAUCGAUUAUUUGUGCAAAUGAUUUACACAUUUAACUACAGUUUUAGCUUGCUGCUUAUUAAGUCUUAAACCCUCAAAAGAUGAGAUUAAAAAAUUGCCUGGGAUAAUAUAUUUUACAUGAAUUAAAUGAUUCAAAACCGACUGCAAAAGAAGCAAAUCCAAUUGCAUCUACUUAGAAUUGCUAAAUAACUUUCAUUAAUGUGUUUUAAAAUUGUCCUCUAUUUUUAUUUUGCAACUUUUACCCAGUACUUUGGGACUGUUUGUUUUCUUCAUUUAC
Molecule: long non-coding RNA, 2037 nt
Organism: Nyctereutes procyonoides (raccoon dog)
Lineage: Eukaryota; Metazoa; Chordata; Mammalia; Carnivora; Canidae
Exons: 5
Source: RefSeq, a predicted model, not a curated record